GGCUGAAAUACAUGCUAAUAUCUAAUAAAUUGAGUGUGAAAGUGCCUUUCUGACAAUUUUUGUACAACUUACUUACUAAGUACUUCUGCACAAAUAGUGUUCAGGCCCAUCUACACAAUACGACUAGUCAUAUACGAUUCUUAUCCUGUAGAUUGGACUUUACAGUACAGCCAUUAUGCGUGAAUCAAUUCCUUCUGUUACCGAUGUCAAUUUCACAAUGGAUUUUACUACAGUUACUUGCUAGGCCGCCAUUACUCUGGCAAGAACAUGCGUGGGUGCCGGCAGCGUCAAAAACAUCAAAGGAGUGAGCAUCUAUUCAUUUCCUAAUCUAUGCCGAUUCUGUGCUACUUUUAUACUGUCUGACAAUCACGUGGUGUAUAUGGAUGACUAACUGAUCAUCUCAUACAUAAAUAUUCAAAGUAUAUGGUAUUGUGAGAGAAAACUCCCAGUGAGAAUACUCUUGGACAUUCACUCAAACACUCACUAUAUACACUAUAUACACUUUUGACUAUAUACUGAUAAUAUACGUAUAUUGUGUAUAUAUAGACACCGUAUACACAAUAUACACUAUAUACUCUUGGACAUUCAUUUAAACACACACAAUAUACACUUUAUACACUUUUGACUAUAUACUGAUAAUAUAUACGCGGUAUAUUGUGUAUAUAAAGACACUAUAUACACAAUAUACACUAUAUCCUCUUGGACAUCCACUCAAACACUCACUAUAUACACUUUAUACACUUUUGACUAUAUACUGAUAAUAUACGUAUAUUGUGUAUAUAUAGACACUAUAUAUAUAUACACAAUAACAAGGGUAAAUAAUGUUAGCCAAUCAGCGCGUUUUUUUACAUUUUGCGUCCUUGACCAAUCAGAAUGCCUGAAAUUCGAAACAUAUAAACAAAAGGAGUGAGAGAAUAACACCUUGUUCUACGCCCCUCGUGACAUUCGAUAUUAAACUUUUUACUCCAAAACUGAGAAAUUCUGAUAAAGCAUGCUUUCUUCUUUAAUUUCCUCGGGGGGAUUUUUUAAAUUCGAUCUAGACUGCGAAAUAUUUAUGUUUGAAUAACAGUGUUUUAACGCGCGUAAAAUAGUAUACUCUCACUUGCACUAUCUUAACACAUACAUAAAAAAAUUGGUAGAUUUGGCAGUUUAAACUUAUUUUCCCCACACCACAGCCGAAAUGUUUUUAAAUAUUACCUAUAUCAUCUCAUCUCGCAUCGGAAAUGCGUCACAACGAUCCAGGACAGUAUCGCAUGACUCAUACCACAGUUAAUAAACUGUGCUCAUACACACUCAUUACUGUACAUAUCCGGUUGGCAAAAUGGCGAUUGUCAGACCUUCGCGAAAUGCUUAUUUUUGCUAACAAACUGUUCGCGAGGGCUUCGUUCUGUUCGUCUUCUGGUUCAUCGUCAUCGGCUGCCUCACUUUCUUCGUCGCUUUCGUCCUCUCCAAAGCGAGUCGCCGAGGCAAACAGCGUUAAUAUUUGCUGUCUUUCCAAGGCCUUCCAAGAGCUUCAACAUUUGCCAACGUUGUUGCUUGACAAACUGGGCAAUCGCUGAUGUUGGACAGCAUGCAUUCGAUGUGGAAUGAAUGUCCACAACCACGGAAAACGUUCCAAGUGGAUUAACCUUUUUGCAGGCAGGUGAAUUGCAUUUUCUAUGAUGUAAAUUGUAAAGUAAGAUUUAUAUUUUAUAUUUUAUACAGAUCUUUAUAGUCAGUGUGUCCUUGGAAAUUGUUCCAAAAUAUGAGUGUGUAGCAAAGUUAAAAUAGUACUCAUAAUCUCCAGAACAUGUUUGAAUCACUGCAGUUUAGAAUUAGCAGUCCUGAGACAUCGGAACUGGCAGCUGUUCAUCUGAUGAUUCUGAUCAAUAUGGCACCCCAUAUCUAUUUAGUUUACAAUACCAGUCAAUGUAAAUUACCACCUCCCCCAACCCAGGAGUUGGUAGAUUUUACUUUUCAGCACUGCAUAAUCAAAAUUGCUGGAUUGUAUGAAUAUCUGGUUUUGUCUC
Molecule: long non-coding RNA, 2009 nt
Filed under: Paramuricea clavata
Lineage: Eukaryota; Metazoa; Cnidaria; Anthozoa; Malacalcyonacea; Plexauridae
Source: RNAcentral